AGCGUAGGCGGUUUUGCAAGUCAGAAGUGAAAGGCUACGGCUCAACCGUGGUAAGCUUUUGAAACUGCAAGACUAGAGUGCAGGAGAGGCAAGUGGAAUUCCUAGUGUAGAGGUGAAAUUCGUAGAUAUUAGGAGGAACACCAGUGGCGAAGGCGACUUGCUGGACUGUAACUGACGCUGAGGCUCGAAAGCGUGGGAGCGAACA
RNAcentral lists this ribosomal RNA (205 nucleotides) under uncultured bacterium. RNAcentral describes it as "partial 16S ribosomal RNA". It matches the Rfam family "Bacterial small subunit ribosomal RNA", at positions 568 to 774 of the family's 1533-position model. The record is from RNAcentral.